CUAGGGAUCUUGCCCAAUGGCCGAAAGGCUGAGGCAGCGACGCCGCGUGAGGGAAGACGGCCCUCGGGUUGUAAACCUCUUUUGUGCGAGACGAGGAUGGACGGUAUCGCACGAAUAAGCACCGGCUAACUCCGUGCCAGCAGCCGCGGUAAGACGGAGGGUGCGAGCGUUGUCCGGAUUUACUGGGCGUAAAGGGCGCGUAGGCGGCUUUAUUAGUCAGUCGUGAAAGGCGUGGGCUUGCCCUGCGUAAGCGAUUGAGACGGUGGAGCUGGAGUGUGGUCGAGGGAAGCAGAAUGCCGGGUGUAGUGGUGAAAUGCGUAGAGAUCCGGCGGAAUACCGGUGGCGAAGGCGGCUUUCUGGGCCAUAACUGACGCUGAGGCGCGAGAGCGUGGGGAGCGAACCGG
RNAcentral lists this ribosomal RNA (404 nucleotides) under uncultured bacterium. RNAcentral describes it as "bacterial SSU rRNA". It matches the Rfam family "Bacterial small subunit ribosomal RNA", at positions 355 to 776 of the family's 1533-position model. The record is from RNAcentral.